UCCGUAGGUGGAUAAUUAAGUCAGAGGUGAAAUCCUGCAGCUCAACUGUAGAAUUGCCUUUGAAACUGGUUAUCUUGAGUCAUUAUGAAGUGGUUAGAAUGUGUAGUGUAGCGGUGAAAUGCAUAGAUAUUACACAGAAUACCGAUUGCGAAGGCAGAUCACUAAUAAUGUACUGACACUGAUGGACGAAAGCGUGGGUAGCGAACAGGAUUAGAUACCCUGGUAGUC
This 228-nucleotide ribosomal RNA is filed under the name uncultured bacterium. RNAcentral's name for it is "partial 16S ribosomal RNA". It matches the Rfam family "Bacterial small subunit ribosomal RNA", at positions 568 to 795 of the family's 1533-position model. The record is from RNAcentral.